RNAcentral lists this ribosomal RNA (473 nucleotides) under uncultured bacterium. RNAcentral's name for it is "partial 16S ribosomal RNA". It matches the Rfam family "Bacterial small subunit ribosomal RNA", at positions 28 to 507 of the family's 1533-position model. The record is from RNAcentral.
GAUGAACGCUAGCGGCAGGCCUAAUACAUGCCAGUCGAACGGGUGGUCGCAAGACCACUAGUGGCGCACGGGUGCGUAACGCGUAACCAACCUGCCCCGAUCUGGGGGAUAGCCCGCCGAAAGGCGGAUUAAUACCGCAUAUACCCGCAGCCUGGCAUCAGGCAACGGGGAAAGAUUUAUUGGAUCGGGAUGGGGUUGCGUGACAUUAGCUAGUUGGCGGGGUAAGGGCCCACCAAGGCGACGAUGUCUAGGGGACCUGAGAGGGUGAUCCCCCACACUGGCACUGAGAUACGGGCCAGACUCCUACGGGAGGCAGCAGUAGGGAAUAUUGGGCAAUGGGCGAGAGCCUGACCCAGCCAGGCCGCGUGCCGGAUGAAGGCCUUCUGGGUUGUAAACGGCUUUUCUCAGGGAAGAAAAAGACCUUGCGAGGUACACUGACGGUACCUGAGGAAUAAGCACCGGCUAACUCCGUG